GAAAGGAGGAAGGGAAAGGAGGUAGGUGAGAGAGAAGGAACUCAUGUGGGGCAUCAGAGGAUGUCCUAGCUCAGGUUCUUGGUGAGGGCUGCCUCUGCCUUUCCUGGGAAGCCCACCCUGACUGCCCAAGCCCUUCCUAUCCUGGAGGUUCCAAUGCUUCCUCUCACCCAGCAUCUGUCCCAGCAAAUAAAUCUGGGCCACGUACUUCUGAAAAGUUUCAGGAGUCCAUGACCCGCUCCUAGCUCUGGUGUGUACAUUGCAGUCCCUGGUUUGGGGGCAGGGAAGAAGGCCCCAGCAGGGGACAGGGACUAGGAGCUUCCCUGGGCCCUACGUGGUAUCUCUAGGGGUGGGGAGGACUGGAGAACCCAGUGUCCUUGAAAGCCUGAGGUUUCUGUACGUUCAUUUCUGGGAACCUGAUAUGCUUCAGAAAGAGAGAAAUGAGAAGCAAAACCCUAAGGCCCCAGCACCCCCUACCCCCCCGCCCGCCCCGCUUCCUGUCUUCCUUCCGCUGAGUCAUAGCCAAGAGCCCAGCACCUCAGCCUCCUCUGGGGCCAUCUGGGCGGGGUGGAAUUUAGAGUCAUGUGAGGACAUGGCAUCUGGGACAAGUCCUCUUUUCCUGCCAGUAUCUGUGAGGGGCCCUGAGUUGCUGAGGGCUGAAGUUACCUCCCAAGCUUGAAGAAGGGGUGACCAAUGUCCUUAGUGUCCUGUCUCUCUGUCAAUCCCCAGGCCCAUUGUUCACCUCCAAGUACUGAGCACCAACUGUAAGCUAGGCAAGGUGGUUCAUAUGGGGCCCUGUCCUUGAGGAACUCAUGGAUUUGGACAUGGACUCCUCCCGACAGGCUCUUAAUGAGUGGCUGGGUCCUUAAGGCUUGCUCUGGUCAGCAGUGGGGAGCCAAGUGAUCCAGGCCACAUCCCAGUGCACAUCAUAGAGACAUGCAUACCCUGACAGAGGCCUUUAGGUACGUGCGUAUGCACAAGUGUAGCACUUGAGCACGUGGGUCCAUGUCCAUGGUCCUAGGUGUCCACACAGGGCCUCCCUUGGAUGGUGGAGUUCCAGCCUCUGGGAACCAGGUCAGGACCUCAUGUGCAUGGCCUCUGUGAGGUUGCUGAGGGCCAAGGUUACUUUCCAAACUUGGAGAAGGGUGACUGAAGUUCUUAUGAGGUGUCACCCUGUCCUGGGGGCCCAACCACUGUCUCUGAGUCAUGGGAACUCAUGGGAGCUUGAGUAGUGUGCCCUCAUUUCAUGGAAAAGAACACUGAAGCCCAGAGAGGGCCUGAGACUUGCCCAGGGUCACACAGCAAGUUGGGGGAGAUCUAGAAGGAGAAUAAGUCAGACUUGGGCACCUGUCCACAUCCCUGACCUUUUUUGCCCCCCACCCUCCCAAUGACCGGGCUGCAUGAAACUCUGGGUUGAUUCUCCCAGCAAACCCACCUGGGGACCAACCACAGGGUCCUCCCAAGCCCUACUAACCAUUCUCAGGGAUUUCCUACCUAUUACAUCUUUGCUUGGGCUAUCCUAGCUGCCUGCAUUGCCCUCUCUCAAUCAGUCUCAGACCUUCUCUCUGAUUCCUCAAAUAAAAUCCAGACUCCCAAAUUCUACCUAAACACUUCCUCUGCCGUUUCUGACCUCCUGGAACUUUCCCCUGCCUCCAGCCUCUCAGCGCCGUCCCCUCACUCCUACCCACUGUGCACCCACCUACUAAACAUAAAAUUGACUCCUAGAAUCCUAGACUGGGGGUGAAAGGUCCUUUAAGGCUGAGAUGGUGGGAACCACACCCGGGCCAGCCCAGCCCUCCAGACUGUCAGUAACUGUGCUGGGCCCUAGAAUUAGGAAAGGAAACAAGGCUUCUGCCAGGUUUCACCGCCUGCCUGCAACUCUGCUCCUCCCUGAAGGCCCAGAGACCUGGAGCACUAUACUCUAGGCAAGAUUGGUCCCUUGGAGUUUACCAUUCCAGAUUUUGUUUAUUCCCCUACACCCUGAGUACCCUUCAACUGGAGGCUAGGCCUGUGUUUGGUGGGAUGGAGAGUGGAGGUCAAACAAAGAGUAGAGAACUCUCAGAUUUUGAGAGUGCUGCUCUUUCAUUAAAUGGCCCCAGACAGAGCUGUGUGCUCCUUUUCAAAGCUCUUCCCUUCCACUUGGUCUGAGGAAGGAGGCAGAGAGGCUGCCUUUGCCUCAUGAGGCUCUGAGUCCCAUCCUUGCCUGGUCAUCCCCUCAAGGGCUCCCCUCCAUGCUGGACUGGGAGCCUAAGAUGAAUUGUUAGACCUACCCUAGGUGCUAGAGUGUGAAAGAAAAAUCAACACAGACACUGCCCAUAUGGAACUCAUGGCCAAGUGGAGGACAGAGGCAGGGUCCUUAUCCUUGGGCCACGUGGUAUGUGUUUGAUCACUGCCUGUUCGGCACUGUGCCAGGCGCUGGGCAUGAGCAGUAUUCAGAUAAGGCCCUGCUCACAUGGAACAUAUCCCUCCACACUCAAGUUCCCAUAGAGAGGUUGCUGUGCUCAGCUUGAGGCUUUCUCUGUACCAAAGGUGAGCUUGGUAGGUGACCAGGGAGCUCACCCACUGGAGCCACUGAAGGGUGGGAUUUUGUGUACACACCCCAGCUUCCUUUACCUUCGGGUAGAACAACCCUGAGGUGUGUUGUACAUCAUCUCAACCAAGGACUGAGCUCACAUGCCCACAGAGGGUACUCACUAAUUAACACACUUGCUUUGGCUUCCUUUCCUUCCCUCUCCUCUGUAUCAAGAACCAGGAAGGCUCUGAGAUUUCAUCCAACUUGCAAGCUAACAAGUUACCAUAUUCCUGAGGAUGCUGGCAGAAGAUACAAGACUCCUGCUUGAGAAACAAAGGCUGGAGAGACCUGGGAAAACUCAAGCUCCAGGGAGAUUCCCAAGGGUGCAGUGGGUGCCCAACAGAGGCAUGAAUAAAUGGUGGAAAAGUUAAGGAAGACUUCUCAGAAAAGAAGCAUAUGAUUUGGACUUUGAAGGCCCAUGAGCCCCACAAGGAUGAGGAAUGUGUCCACUGUUCCCUGCUGUGUCUCCAGAGCCUCGAUGGAGUUGGUGCCCAAAGAGCAGGUAAAGGACUUAAUCGGUAAAGAGUUACCAUCAGCUAUUGUAUGUAUGUUGUUCAGGGUCCUGUGAGCCCACCAGUGCCGGUAGGUGUGCUCCUUUCACCAACCCAGAACCACCUAGGGGUAACUGCAGUGACUAGAGGAUUUUUGGCAUCUGUUAGACUGGGUCUCUGACUUGGGUCUGGGGCCCAGUGACAUGCUCUCCACUGAUUCUGUUCUAAGGAGGUAUCACUUACUGCCUUGAUAUGGAAACAGGAAAAAAACAUUGAAGCAGAAGAAGAGCAGGGGUCAGAAGUAGCAGGUAGCCCCUCCUCAAGCAAGAGCUGGACCUUGGCUUAGGCCGAGGGAGGGAGAAGGGGAUAGGACCCUGUUGGCCAGGCCAAUGGCUCUAGAGACCUUAGCAGGCAGGGACACAAGGGGAUAAAAACAGCAUCCAAGAACAACUCGCCUAAAACCUGCUCCCCCAUCCCCCACCCUGGCCCAUCUGCCAUCCUUGCCACCUCAUGUAGCAGUGCCAGGGCGCAUGAGUAGUUAGUACCCCAUGGGGUCAGCUCGGCUCUGUGCCUCACCUCCUCAGCUAGUCCCUCGCCUUCUCUGGGCCUCAGUUUCCUCAUCUGUGAAGUAUGGAUAAUAUUUAGAGUGUUGUGGUGAGUAUUACUUGAGGUGUAAAGCCCUUGUCUAUUGACAGUACCUGACGGACACCCCAAGACAUCUCCCCUCUGUAGACAAUGAAGGGCCUCCUCUUGUUUUCUGUCUGGGCCAUGCUACCAGGUGGGGAAUAGCCUGCCUUUGGCCCCUCUGUGUCUACUACCUGCACACUGGGUGACUCAGAUCUGGGGGUGGAACGGAUGGACUGGUCACCUCAAGCAUUCUCGGAGUUACAAAGGGGCUGAGAUCCAGGGUGAAGCAAUGAGGAACUGAAGACAUCCCUGGCAGGGCCAUGGUGACCUGGAGGAGGUGUGUUGUCGGGCCCUGGAGCCAGCAUUGGAGAGGGUGCCAGGCAGGACACAUGGGCCUGGGAACCACUCUAGUAAAGACAGUCCUCACCCUCCUCUUUCCCACACUCACCAAAAAUCAGCACCAUUCUUUGCCACAACUAUUUCCAUGCCCGCAAGUUUCUGUGCCUCCAGAGUUCUUGCUUUAUAUCCUUUCCUGCCUCCUUGUCAUCGACAUGUCACUCUUCACACCUUCCUGCCUUCAACUGCCAGCAUUUGCCUCUUCUAAUCUGCAACUUCUAAUUAUCUAAGGGCUAAGAAAAUAGGGUGACUUGAACUAUUUCUAAAGUAAAGGCUGGGAGUUCCCUGGUGGCUCAGUGGGU
This is a long non-coding RNA of Phacochoerus africanus (Common warthog), 4385 nucleotides long. RefSeq lists it as uncharacterized. NCBI's taxonomy places the organism in Eukaryota, Metazoa, Chordata, Mammalia, Artiodactyla, Suidae. The transcript has 3 exons. The record is from RefSeq and is a predicted model, not a curated record.